Dreissena polymorpha is the source of this 5035-nucleotide RNA transcript. RefSeq lists it as uncharacterized. The record is from RefSeq and is a predicted model, not a curated record. NCBI's taxonomy places the organism in Eukaryota, Metazoa, Mollusca, Bivalvia, Myida, Dreissenidae. The transcript has 3 exons.
UGCCGUGACUCACGGCGGUUUAAGAUCAAUACGGCAGGUAAACUGUGUUUAGGUAACCAACGGGCUGGCUAUACAAGGAAAAUAUACGGAUUUUGCUUGCGCGACACUGUCACGCAUGCCUAUAAAUAACUUUAAGAUUAAACGAUAACCACAAUAACUGUUAGGGUAUUUCUGAAAUGAUCAUGUUGCAUAGCAUGUAUAAUUGAACACGAUUACUAAAGGAUUUGACAAAAGCUGGUUUAAAUAACAAAGAUGGAAGCGUGCGAAAAUCUCUGGUACUCGGGCGUUAAAUUACGGAUUGUAUUUUCACUGGUACUACAUAUCGGAGCAUGUGUACCCUCAUCGAUUCCAGUGUUUGUAAAUCCUUGCAAUAAAGAAACGAUACUCGGCCAGGGAUCGGGAAAUUACGCCGCAGAUAUAUAUUUCUCGGGAAGAGUGCAUCCAUUUCAGCCGACUUACUGCUUCAUGAAUCUGGUGACGGAUCAUGGUUAUGUCAUAACCUACAAGUUCGAGAAUCUAAACUUAAACAACCUCUGUGCGGGAGAAAGCGAACAUUGUGAGUGCAAUAAUUCAGUAACUGUGAGUGAUGUUCACAAUGGCGUUACAAUAACGAAAGAGUUGUGUUCAGCAGAAAAUGCCGAAACGAUUGAUUACUCAAACUCAAAAUCUAUGGGUAACAACUUAGCAUUUCGUGUGAAAAUGUCACCCAACACGUCAGUUAGUUUACAAAUCAGCGUGUUCACGUCACAGUACGUGCAAAAUAAAGGUUGUGCCAACGACGAAGCGUUGUGUUCAAAUAUGUGCGUGCACCGAACCCUAGCGUGUGGACCAGAUAAAGAUAAGUAUUGUAAGAGCCCUGAUGACGUAUGCUCGGACAUCAAAUCCUCCGAGCCGAACGGUGGCCUCGUUGUCCCCUUUUUAGUCCCCUUUUUGAUUGCUUUCCUGGUCUUCACAAUCAUCUUUACUUACGGUAUUUGUCUGAGCGAAGAGAACAGCUUUCUCCGGAGGAAAUGCUGCAAGCUACAACCUCGAGCAAAUUCCAGUCGGGCCAAUGCAAUAUUCACGGUUCACUUGGCGAAUCGCGGCGUCGCCUCCAGAAGUGGAGGAAACGACAAUCGGGCCUUUGACGAAUACGGCGAUCCUAUAGACAGGGCCACCUACCAGCCACCACCUGAAUACAGUUCUUUAGAGCACAUAGACAGAGCUGGUCGGUGGCCCGAUCCCAAAGACGGCGGCGAUCUGCCUCCAAGCUAUGAGGACGCUGCCCAAAAUAGACAGAAGUAUAAGAUCACUAUAAAAGAAGGACGUAUAUGGCAUACGGCAAGCGUAGCUAUGAGGACGCUGUCCAAAAUAGACAGCAGACAGAAUAAGAUAACUAUAAACGAAGACGUUAAUGCAUGACACUUAUAUUAGAUUAAACUAGUGUUAUUAUCCAUAUUUUGGGAAUUAAAUCGCCGCCAUAAAUCAAAACAUCGCAGUAAGCAAGGUUGACACUAGAAUAGGAAUAAUCCACUUAGAGGAAUCCUGUUUGGGUGUCUGUAAACUAUACAGACAAAUUGUGCAUGUCGUGGUGACAACCUAACAGCGGUGUUCAAUAAAUACGUGCGUAACGACGAAGUGCGCCCUUGUAUGUUCGUCUAUUGGUGUUAACCCAAAUGCGGUGUUGAAUGUCUACGUUUCUUGCACGCUUUUAUGUCCAUCAGGUCAUGACCGAAUCGUUUAUUUCGUUGUUCUUUUUAAAUGAGGAAACGUUUCCAGGUCAUACUUUACCAUACCUGUCCCGAUCCGAUGUGUAGACACGUUGUUGUCAACCAAACUUCGGCUGAGGACGCCACAGUGCGUUACAUUUUUGGUGUAAGCCACCGAUAUUAAGUGCUUUCAAAAUUGCCAUAGUCUCAAAUAGGAUUGGACCUACCCGGUUUUCUGAUAACUGAAAGAGGUCUGUCCAUAGUUUAAAACACAGACGGUUACGAGUCGUGUUUAGAUUGAGCGAAGAGCAGUUUGAUUUCAUACGGUGAACGUGUUAAUUUUGUGAUAUUGUUUUUGUUUUUGAAAACAUUUACCGUUUAAGUUGCUUUUUUCUAUCAUAUGAACCGCGUCAUGCGAAAAUGGGUCUAAUUCCAUAUACGGCAAACGUAGGUACAGCCAGUGCAACGUAGGUCCAGCCAGUGCAGUGUGGUCAGGAGCUGCUCUAUUUCCUAAUGAGACCACGAAAUCAUGCGCGGUUUUAAAGCGGACGGCGUAGCGUUUGACCAAGCUCACUACUGCACAGGCAAGUUUGGAGUUACGCUGGUCGCAUAUGACAUAAGACCCAUUUUCGCAAGACGCGACACAUAUGAUAAUUCAGUUAUUUAUUUUGAUAAACGAUUUUAAGUUAUUAAGCAUCUCAUUCUAUAUAAUCUUUUUGUUUGUGAGUGAUUUUUGUUUUCCGUCUUAAACACCUCACAUCUUGAUUAUAACGUUGUUACAUUUAAACUAUUGUGCGUUUUAUUCAUCAGUGUACUAGUCAUAUAAAGAAUAACAGGUAACUGUCCCAUCGUUUUGUAAUAUAUCAGGUGAAGCUUAGAAUAAUAUAACGGCGAGGCUUGUCGAGUUGUUAAAUAAACUCUGUCAUUCGAAUAGAUUGCAUACAUUCCGCAGUGUGUUACUAAUUCAACAAUACAACCCAAAUUUAAUUUAGAAAAUGUGUGAAUACUUACAUAUCAAAGAUCGUAAAAAGGUUUUUUUACUUAAUAUAUGUGUGUCAAUUUAUUUAAAUACAUUGUGAUUACACUUUUUGAAUGCAUUUAAUUUAAGAUCAGAUAAGGAAACAAUCACCCAUGUUUAUACUAUUUUAUUCACUUAAUUAGCCGCCGUUUUUAAUGGUUUUUAAUGGUGCUUUAUACAAUAUUACAACAAUUUAAUGAUUUCUAAUUAUGUCACAUGCAUUAUACUUAGUGUUACUUAAAGUAAAUAUUAUAAAGUUCAUGUUACGUAUACAAUCACAAUCACGCAAAAUGUACUGUUUAUCGUAUAUUUUAUUCGUAUCAGUUCCCCUUGCUAUGUGUAUAUACAAUGAAUUAUGAAUUUGAAUUAUUUUAUUUUUAGAGGGGCAUGUUCUCGUUGGCAAAUUGACAAUUUAAAAAAAAAGUCUUAUAGAUUCAAAAAAAGAUGCAUGCAUAAUAUCUAAACAAACAAACUAACACUCCUGAUUUAGGUAAAAGUUAAAUAUAUCAUUUAUUCAUUAUCAUCAUAUCAAGUCAGAAAAAUAAUUGUGUUAGUAACGCCUUGAAUUGAAAAUUUUGCAAAUACUUGUUUUACUAACAUAAUAGAUGCUGAAUUUGUGAAAUAAAAGCCCAUGUUUGCCGAUAAACGCAUACUUUUCGAAAGUUUCACGUUUAAAAUGUCAAUUGAUAAACGGUUUGCAGUCAUUAAAAGGAACGAGUGGUUUACUGUCUAUUAACCCAUUUAUGCCUAGCGUCUAUAAAAAAAAAGGCCUUGGCAAACAGCGUAGACCCAGAUGCGGCGUCUCAUCGGGGUCUGCGCUGUUUGCUUAAAGGAAUUUUUUAAAGAAAUAUUCUAAAUAUAGAAAUAAAAAACUAGACAUGCAUAAUUUUGGAAAUAAACUGAUUCAAUUAAAAUGGAUGAGAGAGUCCACCAGGCAUAAAUGGGUUAAUCAGGCCUGUGAUAACGUCGGUUUUUUACAUUUUGCGUCUCGAGUUCGGGGACCACACGACAGGCCCUUUCUCUUAAUAUUGUAAUGCUUUAAGACUAUUCCAAGUAUUAUAGUUUUCUUAGUAAACUCAUUUAAUUACAUUUAAAAUAAACGUAACUCUGUUGAACAAGUCCCUUUAAAGUAAUAACAUUGUGUCGUGUGAUGUAUUAAAGGGAUCUUUUCACGCUUUGGUAAAUUGACAAAAUUGAAAAAAGUUGUUUCAGAUUCGUAAGUUUUCGUUUUAGUUAUGAUAUUUGUGAGGAAACAGUAAUACUGAACAUUAACCAUGCUCUAAUAUAGCCAUUAUAUGCAUCUUUUGACGAUUUUAAAACCUAAAAAUUAUAAAGCGUUGCAACGCGAAACGAUUGAAUAAUUUGGAGAGUUCUGUUUUUGUCGUUAAAUUUUGUGAAACUACGAAGAUUGCUUAUAUAAGGUAUAAAAUACGUCACGGAUGUGUACUAGGCGGAAUAGCUCAGUAGGCUAAAGCAUUUUUACUUCAGGACUCUGGCAGGACUCCAGGGGUCACUGGUUCGAAACCUGCUCCGGGCAAUGUUCUUUUCCUUUUUUUAUUUUUUUUCUUGAUUUUUUACUGGAGCUUUUACGAUCCAAUGUUUACAUUUAUCAAUAUAAAGCAUUUAAUGAAUAAGUUAAAAAAAAAUGCCAAAAUCUGUGAAAAGGCCCCUUUAAAGGGACUGUCAACCACGACGACGUUGAAAAAGAAAAGUUCUAAAAUACUGUAUUUGUUACAACUAUUAGUUUAUAUUGAUUAAAAAAUAACGACUGGUAUAUUACAUUACUUGAAAAACGUUAAUAUUUUCAGUAUAUUUGGUAAUAAAAUUUCGCGAUGUGAAAUCGAAAGUACAUCGCGAAAAGAGGUGACAUAACGAUAUACACACUAUAAAUAACGCCAGUAGAUUGAUCAUUUUCUAUAUUAGAUAUAUAAAAUCUACUACGCGUGCACAAUUUGCAUUCCUGGGUUUACCACGUGACGAUAAUGAUCAAUCUACUGGCGUUAUUUAUAUGUAACUGAUAGUUACCUGGUAAACAUACCCAGUAAAAUGUAUUACCAAAUAUUCUGAAAAUAUGAAAACUUAACAAUUUUUUUUCAAGUAUUGUAAUAUAUCAGUCGUGAUAUUUUAAUCAAUAUAAACUAAUACUUGUACAAGUAUACGGUAUUUUACAACUUUUUUUUCUACGUCGUCGUGGUUGACAUGGUAAAAAUGUGUCUCAUCUAAAUCCAGUCAGGUCAGUAUAUUUAUUUAUUAAACCCAUUUUUCGAGCCCUUUUAAACAUAACUAUGGUUUGUUUAUUUAUAUUGUUUAAAUAAACACGUUCUUUAAU